ACAUAUGUGAAUACGGGGUUAUUUUAGGUGCAAGUGGCGGGUUAAUAUAAGAAUAUACAUGAAAACACUAGCUAAAUAGCACUAAAAGUGUGUCAAUAAUGGGCAUCAACAAACCCCGACCAUGAUGAUCGACAGGCAUAGAACUAUAGCAAGCCCAAAGGCACAAUGAACCGAUGCGGUAACGUAGAAUUAGUCUAUUCAUAUGAAUUGUAUAACUUAAAAGAGCACAAGACAUGCAUGACAUACUACCAAAAUAGCAUAACAACCAUACUCUAUAUUAUAAAUAGGAUGCUAACAAGUCGAGUACAAAGCCAUACCCAAGGCCGAAGGUGUUUCUCGUAAAGUGUUCUGUGGUGUGUUUCUCUGGUGUUCGCGCAUGUUUCUCUCCUAAAGUAGACUUGUGUAAUUGAAAAUACUUAUUUGCCAAUACAUGUGGAACUAGGUUAUUAUAAUUAAAUAUGUGAGUAAUAAAUGUUAGUUUUCCUUUAUUCGUUGAGUGUAUUGACGGCCGGAUUUGUCACUUAAGGACCGUCAACAACCACUGAACGAGUUUUUUUUCCAUUUUUGCAUGGUCGUGUAUCCCGGUUGUACAUGUUCGAACUUCUCUUCUUUUUAAUGAAAAAUGUGCUAUGCAUGUCUUAAAAAGAUAUAAAUGUAUCACCCCAUCACGGUGUUCAUCCACCCUACUUAUUUACUAUUGGUUUCUUUCUUUUCUCACGUUGUCUCUAUUUCCCUACACCACACCAUUUCAUUAUAUUGCUACUCCCCCC
RNAcentral lists this long non-coding RNA (770 nucleotides) under Setaria viridis. RNAcentral's name for it is "long non-coding RNA (SVIR_LNC010445)". The record is from RNAcentral. Lineage: Eukaryota; Viridiplantae; Streptophyta; Magnoliopsida; Poales; Poaceae.